Molecule: ribosomal RNA, 1372 nt
Filed under: Streptomyces somaliensis
Lineage: Bacteria; Bacillati; Actinomycetota; Actinomycetes; Kitasatosporales; Streptomycetaceae
Description: bacterial SSU rRNA
Rfam family: Bacterial small subunit ribosomal RNA
Source: RNAcentral
GCAGUCGAACGAUGAACCGCUUUCGGGCGGGGAUUAGUGGCGAACGGGUGAGUAACACGUGGGCAAUCUGCCCUGCACUCUGGGACAAGCCCUGGAAACGGGGUCUAAUACCGGAUAUGACUGUCCAUCGCAUGGUGGAUGGUGUAAAGCUCCGGCGGUGCAGGAUGAGCCCGCGGCCUAUCAGCUUGUUGGUGAGGUAGUGGCUCACCAAGGCGACGACGGGUAGCCGGCCUGAGAGGGCGACCGGCCACACUGGGACUGAGACACGGCCCAGACUCCUACGGGAGGCAGCAGUGGGGAAUAUUGCACAAUGGGCGAAAGCCUGAUGCAGCGACGCCGCGUGAGGGAUGACGGCCUUCGGGUUGUAAACCUCUUUCAGCAGGGAAGAAGCGAAAGUGACGGUACCUGCAGAAGAAGCGCCGGCUAACUACGUGCCAGCAGCCGCGGUAAUACGUAGGGCGCAAGCGUUGUCCGGAAUUAUUGGGCGUAAAGAGCUCGUAGGCGGCUUGUCACGUCGGUUGUGAAAGCCCGGGGCUUAACCCCGGGUCUGCAGUCGAUACGGGCAGGCUAGAGUUCGGUAGGGGAGAUCGGAAUUCCUGGUGUAGCGGUGAAAUGCGCAGAUAUCAGGAGGAACACCGGUGGCGAAGGCGGAUCUCUGGGCCGAUACUGACGCUGAGGAGCGAAAGCGUGGGGAGCGAACAGGAUUAGAUACCCUGGUAGUCCACGCCGUAAACGGUGGGCACUAGGUGUGGGCAACAUUCCACGUUGUCCGUGCCGCAGCUAACGCAUUAAGUGCCCCGCCUGGGGAGUACGGCCGCAAGGCUAAAACUCAAAGGAAUUGACGGGGGGCCCGCACAAGCGGCGGAGCAUGUGGCUUAAUUUCGACGCAACGCGAGAACCCUUACCAAGGCUUGACAUACACCGGAAACGUCUGGAGACAGACGCCCCCCUUGGUGGUCGGUGUACAGGUGGUGCAUGACUGUCGUCAGCUCGUGUCGUGAGAUGUUGGGUUAAGUCCCGCAACGAGCGCAACCCUUGUCCCGUGUUGCCAGCAGGCCCUUGUGGUGCUGGGGACUCACGGGAGACCGCCGGGGUCAACUCGGAGGAAGGUGGGGACGACGUCAAGUCAUCAUGCCCCUUAUGUCUUGGGCUGCACACGUGCUACAAUGGCCGGUACAAUGAGCUGCGAUACCGCGAGGUGGAGCGAAUCUCAAAAAGCCGGUCUCAGUUCGGAUUGGGGUCUGCAACUCGACCCCAUGAAGUCGGAGUCGCUAGUAAUCGCAGAUCAGCAUUGCUGCGGUGAAUACGUUCCCGGGCCUUGUACACACCGCCCGUCACGUCACGAAAGUCGGUAACACCCGAAGCCGGUGGC